CUCGCCGGAUGUAGGAACCGACCCGGGGACCGCCGGGGCAACCCGGCGCCCCCGAGACGGGGCGAACCACGGUGAAAUGACGGAUCGUCGGCCCCGCGCCGGCGACUCGCCGAAUGAGUUUCUGACCUAUCAACUCGAGACGGCGGGGUAGAGGCCCGCCGCGGUAACGACGGGUAACGGGGAAUCAGGGUUCGAUUCCGGAGAGGGAGCCCGAGAAACGGCUACCACUUCCAAGGAAGGCAGCAGGCGCGCAACUUACCCUAAUCUCGAUUCGAGGAGGUAGUGACAAGAAAUACCGAUGCGGGACCCUACGGGUGCCGCGUUCGGAAUGAGUACGAUUCGAACCACCUAACGAGGAACGAUCGGAGGGCAAGUCUGGUGCCAGCAGCCGCGGUAAUUCCAGCUCCAAUAGCGUACG
This 418-nucleotide ribosomal RNA is filed under the name uncultured eukaryote. Its description in RNAcentral is "bacterial SSU rRNA". It matches the Rfam family "Eukaryotic small subunit ribosomal RNA", at positions 203 to 601 of the family's 1831-position model. The record is from RNAcentral.